CGUGAGAUGUUGGGUUAAGUCCCGCAACGAGCGCAACCCCUAUUGUUAGUUGCUACGCAAGAGCACUCUAGCGAGACUGCCGUUGACAAAACGGAGGAAGGUGGGGACGACGUCAAAUCAUCAUGCCCCUUAUAUCCUGGGCUACACACGUAAUACAAUGGCGGUCAACAGAGGGAAGCAAAGCCGCGAGGCAGAGCAAACCCCCAAAAGCCGUCCCAGUUCGGAUUGUACGGCUGCAACUCGCCUGCA
This 249-nucleotide ribosomal RNA is filed under the name uncultured bacterium. RNAcentral's name for it is "partial 16S ribosomal RNA". It matches the Rfam family "Bacterial small subunit ribosomal RNA", at positions 1066 to 1320 of the family's 1533-position model. The record is from RNAcentral.